RNAcentral lists this ribosomal RNA (253 nucleotides) under uncultured bacterium. RNAcentral describes it as "partial 16S ribosomal RNA". It matches the Rfam family "Bacterial small subunit ribosomal RNA", at positions 524 to 776 of the family's 1533-position model. The record is from RNAcentral.
UACGGGGGGGGCAAGCGUUGUUCGGAAUUACUGGGCGUAAAGGGCUCGUAGGCGGCCAACUAAGUCGGACGUGAAAUCCCUCGGCUUAACCGGGGAACUGCGUCUGAUACUGGAUGGCUUGAGUUUGGGAGAGGGAUGCGGAAUUCCAGGUGUAGCGGUGAAAUGCGUAGAUAUCUGGAGGAACACCGGUGGCGAAGGCGGCAUCCUGGACCAACACUGACACUGAGGAGCGAAAGCCAGGGGAGCAAACGGG